UUUCAGGAUUUCAAGUAAGAAAAAAAUUUCAGAGUUUAGAUUACGAUACAUGGAGCACAGGUUGUGAGCUCUGUUUAGUAAGCAUGUAACAAGGUUUC
This is a long non-coding RNA of Limulus polyphemus (Atlantic horseshoe crab), 98 nucleotides long. RefSeq lists it as uncharacterized. The transcript is spliced from 4 exons. The record is from RefSeq and is a predicted model, not a curated record. NCBI's taxonomy places the organism in Eukaryota, Metazoa, Arthropoda, Merostomata, Xiphosura, Limulidae.